GAUGAACGCUGGCGGCGUGCUUAACACAUGCAAGUCGAACGGAAAGGCCCAAGCUUGCUUGGGUGCUCGAGUGGCGAACGGGUGAGUAACACGUGGGUGAUCUGCCCUGCACUUUGGGAUAAGCCUGGGAAACUGGGUCUAAUACCGGAUAGGACCAUCGUUUAGUGUCGGUGGUGGAAAGUUUUUCGGUGUAGGAUGAGCUCGCGGCCUAUCAGCUUGUUGGUGGGGUAAUGGCCUACCAAGGCGUCGACGGGUAGCCGGCCUGAGAGGGUGUACGGCCACAUUGGGACUGAGAUACGGCCCAGACUCCUACGGGAGGCAGCAGUGGGGAAUAUUGCACAAUGGGCGCAAGCCUGAUGCAGCGACGCCGCGUGGGGGAUGACGGCCUUCGGGUUGUAAACUCCUUUCGCCAAGGACGAAGCGUUUUGUGACGGUACUUGGAGAAGAAGCACCGGCUAACUACGUG
Molecule: ribosomal RNA, 466 nt
Filed under: uncultured bacterium
Lineage: Bacteria
Description: partial 16S ribosomal RNA
Rfam family: Bacterial small subunit ribosomal RNA
Source: RNAcentral